GACGAACGCUGGCGGCGUGCUUAACACAUGCAAGUCGAACGGAAAGACGCUGCUUUUGCGGGGUGCUCGAGAGGCGAACGGGGGAGUAACACGUGUGUAACCUGCCCUUGACUGUGUGAUAACUUCAGGAAACUGCGGCUAAUACCGGAUAGGAUCUCCUGCUGCAUGGGGGGGAUUGGAAAGUUGCGGCUGUUGGGGAUGGACUCGCGGCUUAUGAGCUGGUUGGGGGGGUAGUGGCUUACCAGGUCUUUGACGGGUAGCCCGCCUGGGAGCGUGGCCGGGGACCAUGCGCCUGCGGUAGGCAGCAGUCGGGUAUGGGCCGCAGUAGUGGGAAACCUUGCGCAGUGGGCCGGAGCCUGAUGUGGAGGCGUUCGGUGCGUAAUGCCGGCUUUCGGGUUGUAAACAGAUGUCUACGUUGACGAAGCGGUCGUGACGGUACUGGGUCAAGAAGCCCCGGCUAACUACGUG
Molecule: ribosomal RNA, 468 nt
Filed under: uncultured bacterium
Lineage: Bacteria
Description: partial 16S ribosomal RNA
Rfam family: Bacterial small subunit ribosomal RNA
Source: RNAcentral